CCUACGGGUGGCAGCAGUGAGGAAUAUUGGUCAAUGGGCGCGAGCCUGAACCAGCCAAGUCGCGUGAGGGAUGAAGGUUCUAUGGAUCGUAAACCUCUUUUAUACGGGAAUAAAGUGUGGGACGUGUCCUAUUUUGUAUGUACCUUAUGAAUAAGGAUCGGCUAACUCCGUGCCAGCAGCCGCGGUAAUACGGAGGAUCCGAGCGUUAUCCGGAUUUAUUGGGUUUAAAGGGUGCGUAGGCGGGCUUUUAAGUCAGCGGUGAAAGUCUGUGGCUCAACCAUAGAAUUGCCGUUGAAACUGGGGGGCUUGAGUAUAUUUGAGGCAGGCGGAAUGCGUGGUGUAGCGGUGAAAUGCUUAGAUAUCACGCAGAACACCGAUUGCGAAGGCAUCUCACGAAUCCGCGAUUGACGCUGAUGCACGAAAGCGUGGGGAUCAAACAGGAUUAGAUACCCCAGUAGUC
RNAcentral lists this ribosomal RNA (460 nucleotides) under uncultured bacterium. RNAcentral's name for it is "partial 16S ribosomal RNA". It matches the Rfam family "Bacterial small subunit ribosomal RNA", at positions 338 to 795 of the family's 1533-position model. The record is from RNAcentral.